This 253-nucleotide ribosomal RNA is filed under the name uncultured bacterium. RNAcentral describes it as "partial 16S ribosomal RNA". It matches the Rfam family "Bacterial small subunit ribosomal RNA", at positions 524 to 776 of the family's 1533-position model. The record is from RNAcentral.
UACGUAGGGUCCGAGCGUUGUCCGGAAUUAUUGGGCGUAAAGGGCUCGUAGGCGGUUUGUUGCGUCGGCUGUGAAAUCCCGAGGCUCAACCUCGGGUCUGCAGUCGAUACGAGCAAACUAGAGUGUUGCAGGGGAGACUGGAAUUCCUGGUGUAGCGGUGAAAUGCGCAGAUAUCAGGAGGAACACCGAUGGCGAAGGCAGCUCGCUGGGACGGUACUGACGCUGAGGCGCGAAAGCGUGGGGAGCAAACAGG